GAUAGGAUGGCCGAGUGUUAGGCGGUGGCUUGUAGCUCCAUGGACAGAGGUUCAAUUCCUCUUCUUAUCA
RNAcentral lists this transfer RNA (70 nucleotides) under Carapus bermudensis. RNAcentral describes it as "tRNA-Tyr". It matches the Rfam family "tRNA". From Rfam's summary of the family: Transfer RNA (tRNA) molecules are approximately 80 nucleotides in length. Their secondary structure includes four short double-helical elements and three loops (D, anti-codon, and T loops). Lineage: Eukaryota; Metazoa; Chordata; Actinopteri; Ophidiiformes; Carapidae. The record is from RNAcentral.